Molecule: ribosomal RNA, 107 nt
Filed under: uncultured bacterium
Lineage: Bacteria
Description: partial 16S ribosomal RNA
Source: RNAcentral
UUUAAUUCGAUGCUAACCGAAGAACCUUACCUGGGCUUGACAUCCUGGUAAUCCUGCAGAGAUGCGGUGAGUGCCCUUCUGGGAACCCAGAGACAGAACGCUGCGUG